GGUUCCCAUGGCGUGGCUCCGCCCACUCGGGGGCGGGGCUUGGUCCCGCGGUGCGGGUGGGUGCGGGAUGACCGGUAGAGCUCGGUGCGGCCGGUGCGGCUCCGUGCGGACGGUACUAUCCCGACGCACGGGAAUCCCAGCCCGGGCCAGAGAUAGGGGCUGAACUUUAGUCUCUGAGCAAUUAAGGUGCCUGAAACUGCACUUCAUUAAUGGUUGUUAUGCAAUAAAACCGAUAAAACUGC
Molecule: long non-coding RNA, 242 nt
Organism: Strigops habroptila (Kakapo)
Lineage: Eukaryota; Metazoa; Chordata; Aves; Psittaciformes; Psittacidae
Exons: 2
Source: RefSeq, a predicted model, not a curated record